Molecule: long non-coding RNA, 876 nt
Organism: Scylla paramamosain (green mud crab)
Lineage: Eukaryota; Metazoa; Arthropoda; Malacostraca; Decapoda; Portunidae
Exons: 4
Source: RefSeq, a predicted model, not a curated record
GCUUCGUUCACUACUCGCCAUAGUAUAUUAGUGGCGACUGGAGAGGAAGGGUAUUUGCUGUGUGGUAUUAAUCCUGGUCGCCUUUGUCUUUAUCGUUUGUCUUCGUUUCUGUACGAGGCAGAGGUGGAAGGAGAAGUGGGAAGGAAGGCAUUGUCUCCGUCCUGCAGGAACAAAAGUAACUAUUACCCUUUGGCUGUGUCCACUUGGCCCUCUUCCCUGCGCUUCAAGUAAUAGGGUGAUGUUGGGGUCAUCAGUAAAGCCGUUGCUUCCUGGAAGUCUUGCAGUGCACCCACACAAGAGCUUGAGCCAUCGCUAGCACUAGUUUCUGUUGCCUUGGAGUCUUUACUUUGAUUUAGGUGGCGUGCCCUGACGCUUCCAGCAUCCACCACCACAACGUGAUGGCCUCGUCCCUGCUUUGCCGCUGCUGCUGGCACUGCUGCAAACCGUCACACUAACACCUCUGUGGUCACCAUUGCGUUAGACUUGUUAGCUAGCUGUGAUGCUGGUGAUAAAGCUGCCCUGUGUGCUAAGAGUUCAAAGGACUCCUUAACUUAUUUAGUUUCUUUUUCGUUUUUUUUUUUUUUAAUAUUUUGUGUUCUAUGGGAAGGGUCAAGUCUUUCUCCGGAGAGUCUUUGAGGUAAAUUUUUAGGAGUGAGUAAAAAAGAAGGGAUUCAUAGUGGAGAGUAGAUUCAUAGUGGAGAGUGUCUUCAAAGGUCCUUCCUUGUAGGACAUGCGUAUUGAAUGAAUGGAGGUUUUAUUUGUUUCCCCUAUUCAAGACUGACUGACUCCCUCGAUACAAGACUGACACCUCGCAUGUAGGGAAAUUGUGAAAGAACGGAGGACUGAAGGUAAUAAAGGUAUUAAUAAUGUGAAGAA